Molecule: ribosomal RNA, 422 nt
Filed under: uncultured bacterium
Lineage: Bacteria
Description: bacterial SSU rRNA
Rfam family: Bacterial small subunit ribosomal RNA
Source: RNAcentral
UAAGGAAUAUUGGUCAAUGGACGCAAGUCUGAACCAGCCAUGCCGCGUGGAGGAUUAAGGCCCUCUGGGUUGUAAACUCCUUUUAUCUGGGAAGAAAUGUACUUUUUCUUGAGUACUUGACGGUACCAGAGGAAUAAGCACCGGCUAACUCCGUGCCAGCAGCCGCGGUAAUACGGAGGGUGCCAGCGUUAUCCGGCUUCACUGGGUUUAAAGGGUGCGUAGGUGGGCAGGUAAGUCAGUGGUGAAAUCUCCGGGCUUAACCCGGAAACUGCCGUUGAUACUAUGUGUCUUGAAUAUUGUGGAUGUCAGCGGAAUAUGACAUGUAGCGGUGAAAUGCUUAGAUAUGACAUAGAACACCAAUUGCGAAGGCAGCUUACUACACAAUCAUUGACGCUGAGGCACGAAAGCGUGGGGAUCAAACA